This 263-nucleotide small nuclear RNA is filed under the name Sorex araneus (European shrew). RNAcentral describes it as "7SK RNA (ENSSARG00000019218.1)". It matches the Rfam family "7SK RNA". From Rfam's summary of the family: 7SK was discovered as an abundant small nuclear RNA in the mid-70s but a possible function has only recently been suggested. Lineage: Eukaryota; Metazoa; Chordata; Mammalia; Eulipotyphla; Soricidae. The record is from RNAcentral.
GGAUGUGAGAGCGAUCUGCUUUCAAAGUCUGUCACCCCGUCGAUGGCAAGGUUGAUUUGGCUGAUCGGGCUGGCUAAGUGUUCCCUUCCUCCACCUGAUUCCCUCCCGAUGCUUGUUCAGAGAGGGCCACCUUCUCAGAAUAGAGAGAGGCUGUUCUUCAGAACCUCCAAACAAGAUUGCAAAAAUCUGGAAAAGAAUGCCGUUACUUUGGUUGAUAUGAAAAAAUUUUCUUCAAAUUCACAUUUGGUUAGCUUUUCUCUAAA